This 253-nucleotide ribosomal RNA is filed under the name uncultured bacterium. RNAcentral describes it as "partial 16S ribosomal RNA". It matches the Rfam family "Bacterial small subunit ribosomal RNA", at positions 524 to 776 of the family's 1533-position model. The record is from RNAcentral.
GACAGAGGGUGCAAACGUUGUUCGGAAUUACUGGGCGUAAAGCGUGUGUAGGCGGUCUCAUAAGUCGGAUGUGAAAGCCCUGGGCUCAACCCAGGAAGUGCACUCGAAACUGCGAGGCUAGAGUAUCGGAGAGGUUGGUGGAAUUCUCGGUGUAGAGGUGAAAUUCGUAGAUAUCGAGAGGAACACCGGUGGCGAAGGCGGCCAACUGGACGAAUACUGACGCUGAGACACGAAAGCGUGGGGAGCAAACAGG